Molecule: ribosomal RNA, 482 nt
Filed under: uncultured bacterium
Lineage: Bacteria
Description: partial 16S ribosomal RNA
Rfam family: Bacterial small subunit ribosomal RNA
Source: RNAcentral
AAUGAACGUUGGCGGCGUGGAUUAGGCAUGCAAGUCGAGCGCGAAACGUAGCAAUACGUGGAAAGCGGCGAAAGGGAAAGUAAUACAUAGGUACGUACCCUUGGACCUGGGAUAGCGGCGGGAAACUGCCGGUAAUACCAGAUAAUGUCUCCGGACCAAAGGUGUGACUCCGUCUGAGGAGCGGCCUAUGUCCUAUUCGCUGGGUGGGAAGGUAACGGCUUACCAAGGCAAAGAUGGGUAUGGGGUGUGAGAGCAUUCCCCCACUCACUGGGGCUGAGACACCGCCCAGACACCUACGGGUGGCUGCAGUGGAGAAUCGUCGGCAAUGGACGCAAGUCUGACCGAGCGACGCCGCGUGCGGGAUGAAGGCCUUCGGGUUGUAAACCGCUGUCGUAGGGGAGGAAAUGCAGGUGGGUACUCCCAUCUGCUUGACUGAUCCUAGGAGGAAGGACCGGCUAAUCUCGUGCCAGCAGCCGCGGUAA